RNAcentral lists this ribosomal RNA (461 nucleotides) under uncultured bacterium. Its description in RNAcentral is "bacterial SSU rRNA". It matches the Rfam family "Bacterial small subunit ribosomal RNA", at positions 917 to 1382 of the family's 1533-position model. The record is from RNAcentral.
GGACCCGCACAAGCAGCGGAGCAUGUGGUUUAAUUCGAAGCAACGCGAAGAACCUUACCAGGACUUGACAUCCCUCUGACAGGGCCUUAAUCGGCCCCUUCUUCGGACAGAGGAGACAGGUGGUGCAUGGUUGUCGUCAGCUCGUGUCGUGAGAUGUUGGGUUAAGUCCCGCAACGAGCGCAACCCUUGUCAUUAGUUGCCAUCAUUAAGUUGGGCACUCUAGUGAGACUGCCGGGGAUAACUCGGAGGAAGGUGGGGAUGACGUCAAAUCAUCAUGCCCCUUAUGUUCUGGGCUACACACGUGCUACAAUGGCCGGUACAAAGAGACGCAAGACCGUGAGGUGGAGCAAAUCUCAAAAGCCGGCCCCAGUUCGGAUUGUAGGCUGCAACUCGCCUACAUGAAGUCGGAGUUGCUAGUAAUCGCAGAUCAGAAUGCUGCGGUGAAUGCGUUCCCGGGUCUU